ACCUCACUGGCUCAGGUGGUAGAGCAUGGGACUCUUGAUCUUGGGGUCAUGAGUUCGAGCCCCAUGCUGGGUG
RNAcentral lists this transfer RNA (73 nucleotides) under Canis lupus familiaris (dog). It matches the Rfam family "tRNA". From Rfam's summary of the family: Transfer RNA (tRNA) molecules are approximately 80 nucleotides in length. Their secondary structure includes four short double-helical elements and three loops (D, anti-codon, and T loops). Lineage: Eukaryota; Metazoa; Chordata; Mammalia; Carnivora; Canidae. The record is from Rfam by way of RNAcentral. RNAcentral also lists the same sequence under 2 other names.